This 6069-nucleotide long non-coding RNA is filed under the name Triticum aestivum (bread wheat). RNAcentral describes it as "long non-coding RNA (TAES_LNC003365)". The record is from RNAcentral. Lineage: Eukaryota; Viridiplantae; Streptophyta; Magnoliopsida; Poales; Poaceae.
GACUAGUGAAUUGUUUAUUUUGCAGAAAAGUGCGCAAAGGCACUAUAAUCGUCAAGACUUCUACUAUGUGGCUAACGAGAAGAGAGAAGGGCAUGAAAGAAAUACGUCAAGGCUUGAGCGUGAAGGAAAGAAGUAAUGUAGGGGAGCAAACUAAAAGAAGAGGAGGAUCUUCUUGGGAAGAAAGAAGAAAGGAGGAGGGCCAAAGUAAAAAAAGACAGAACAGAGGAGGGGAUCAAAAAUCCCUAGCGCAGCCGAUCCCCAUCAGGCCUGCAUCUCACCUCUCUCCCUCACCCCUCCUUCUCCACCACCGGCCGUCGCCGCGGCCAGGCCGGCGUGGCGGUGCGCCUGCUGCUCCUCCACUCAGCCACGAGCACCAUCCGCCGCACCAUCCAUCCAUCCCAGCCGCGCCGUGCCAUCCAUCCACCACUCCACCAGCGUCACUAGCUCCACUUCACCACCGCGCCUCACCAGCGCCCACCUCGCGCGCCCCUCCUGCCGCUUCCUCUCUGAACCCGCUGUUGCUGCUGCAUCUUCCUUCUUCCUCUCGACCUCCUGUUGCUCUUCUCCAAGCACCGCUGCUGCUCCUUCCUUGCAACCCCCCUGCUGUUGUUCAUCCUCUCCACCUCCUUGCGCCUCCCUGCCGGUACCCUUCUCUGCUCAAAACUGCUGCUGCUUGUGCACUCCAGCUUCUCCUUCUUCUCCUGCCUACUGCUGGUUCUUCUUCCCCACAUCACUUUUGCUGCUCCUCUUCUCUGCCUCGCUACUGUUCUUCUUACCUGAACCUCAAAAUUGCUGCUGUUCUCUUCUAAACAACAAAACUGCUGCUACUACUACCUCAACCUCCUAUUGCUUUCUUUCUUUCUCACUCUCUUUUAAAUUUCUGUAAGAUUGAGACGCAUGUGAUUUGUAUUAUUCAGAUUUGAUAAGUGUUAGUAAUCUACUGUUGUUCAGUUCAGACUUCCUGUGUGUGUUAAUUAGUUAAAAUUGUCACUUGUGUACUGCUUGUUGCAGAUUCUUGCUCAUUUUUGUUGUCUAUGUGUUAGCUCAUGCAUCUGAGAAUUAUAAAGACAUAUGUGUGUGUGGUUGAUGUGAAACAAUUAUAUAUAUGUCUCAUGUUUGUUAGUUAGUGGUUUGUAUAAAUUCAGAUUACUACUUGUGAUUUAAUUUUGUAUUGAAAUUGUUCUCUGUGGUAGUCAGUUGUGUGAUCAUUCAAUUUUCAGUCUAUGUAUUAGCUCUGUACCUGUAAUAUAUGUUGUGACAUGAAGCAUUUUCAUCCUUGUCCAUUAUCUUGUUUCUUCACUCUGUCAUACGCUUGUUAGAUAAAUAUAUGUGUUCAUGUCCUGUUGUUCCCUUUUGUGUUAGCAUUUUAGUUUCUCAAGUAACAGGAAAACACCAAAAAAGACAAUAUAGACAAUCUGAACCUCCCCUUUGCUUAUUUUACAUUUUCUUUGGCGACGAUCUUCGGGAACUACCUUGUUAGUUUAGGUUUAUUUUCUUGCAUUUAUAAUCUGAGUUCUGUCACCUAGCUUUAGCCGAGCAUUGUUGCUGUCGCCUAGUCCCUGUGGAGAACACGACACUCACAGUUCGGGUGAAAUAUCCCGCAGUACUUUCAAUCGAUCAUUUUGGCGCCGUUGCCGGGGACUAGCGUCGUGUGACCGUGUUAGGCUAUAGACUAGGUUUUGCUUCUGUUUCUAUCUGGUGCCAUAUAUUUGUGAUAUAUCUCUUACCCCUAACCACUGUUCUAGUUAUCUUCUCUUUCUUUUCUUGUUCAUUUUGUAGGUUGAAUUGUCUUCUCGGAUAUGGCUUACUAUUCAGAUCAUCAUGCUUAUGCGAGCAACACUACAAACAACACGGAAAGUAUUCAAGAACUGAUAAGUAAGAUUUCCCAUCAAUUAGAUGAUUUAGCUCAGCAGCGAGGAGUAGUUUUUGAGGAUAGGCCUAGUUCUUAUUAUCCUUAUUCCGGAAGCAAUCCUUAUGUUGCUCCUACAUGCCAUAUUUGUGGAUUUCAGGGCCAUUCGCCCGCUGAAUGUCAGCGUGGUUACUCUCACACUCCAGAUUGUUUUGGCAUGAGCUUCGCUCAAGAGCAUAGCUCAUACCAAAACAAUUACUCACAUGGGUGUCCUGAAAACCCGAAUAUGUCAUAUAGGAGCAACAACCCCGAGAUCUCACCGCUUGCUUCUAGUAAUCAUAUGCAGGGAUUUAGGUAUGAAGAGGAGAGCCACAGCUAUGCUCCACAACAGUCUUAUUCAGCUCCUAUUCAUAUACCUCAGCACGAGGAGAUGUUGCCAAUGGAGUUAAAUGGUCCUCCAUUUGGUCAACCAACACCUUCAACACAAGUGCCUACUCAAGAUGAGUUUGAUGACAUAGACAAGUUCACACUUUUGAGUCUUGAGUUCAGUUGGAGUGCCGAGGAUGAUCCUAUUAGGAAGGUUAUACUAGAUGAAAUGAAGAAGAUCAAGAGUGGGAAUGAGCUAGUGGAAGAAGUAAAGAAGAUUGAGAAGAACAUCAACGCUGGCAGCUCUAUUUCUUCACAGCUAGAGCUGAGUGUUGCUGAGAUUCCCCUUGAUACAUGUGAGGUUCCAACACCUUCACAUUUCGUUGAGCAAGUUAGCAAGUGCCUUGAGCAAGAGAUACCUCAGAUUGAAGAAGAUGAACUAGAAGACAAGGACCAAGAUGGUCAAGAGCUGCAAUUCCCAAGUGAUCAAGUUGAAGACUCAUCAUCUACUACUGAAGAACUACAAGAAGCUGCUGUAGAUAAAGAUGAAGAUCAUGAGAUUCAUUUGCCUAUUGUCAUACCAGAGCGUGAUGUGUCAGGUUUACUCAAUCCUCUUGAUGACAUGAUGCCUUGUGAUUUCUUUGCUACUACCUUGCUUUACAUGAUACUAUCACUUAAGAUUGAUUUGAAAACUCAUUUGCUUGGAUAUGAUGAUAUAUACCCUGUUAGUGGUAUUACUCUCAUUUGUGAUGAUCAUAGUUACUUUCCUCGUGCUAAUCCUAUGCUUAAUGAAACAUAUCACUCCCAUGCUAGUCUUGCACUUAAUGAUAAAUGUCAUCCUCGUGUGAGUAUUGACCAUGCUGAUUUCUGCCAUCCUAAACAUGUGCUUUAUAGUUAUGCUUAUAUAAUUGGAUAUUCCAUUGAUGACUUGGAGGGCAUCGACCGUAUCACUUGUAGUUGUUUGUGUGAGUCCUAUUUCAGGCUUUUGCUACUGCACUGUUUACUACAUGCUGACCAGGUUUGAGGUGACAUUCCUUGGGAUCCUGGUGGAGUCACAGCAUGGCGAUGAGGGGAGCACAAACAGGGAACACAAACAGAGAAGAGUGGAGAGAAGAAAGUAGGAGAGAAGAGUAUACAAAUACCAGGUGAUUCUGUUCCACUUGAAGCAACCUUUAGAAAAUUUAGUACGAGAACUGGCAUUUUAUUGCAUUGAAACGCUUUUUGCAUUGUGACACCUUACUCUUCACUGCAAAGUAGGAUUCACUCCAAGAAGAUUGUUGAUUCUCUUAAUACUAAAACUAUGCAGCAGUAUUCUUCUUAUGGUAAUUUGUGAUAAUGAAUACUUUAUACCUCCAUGUAAAUGUUCAAUGGGAAUGCCUUGAGUCUAAGUGAAACCUACUAAUGAAUUGAUGUGCUGUGUCUGACUGUCCCACGUUAAGCUAAGUAACUGGUGGCACUUAAGUAGUAGCUAUGAUCUCUGGAUCUGUAGUAUGUGAAAAACAGUGCCAUUAGUUAUGGAUUCCUCUUUCAAUUAUUCCUGUUUUACUUAAGCUAAGUAAUUUUCAAAUAACUAAAUAAAAUAAUUAUAAUAUUUUAAGUCCGAUCGACCUAUAGUAGCAUGUCAUGUUCCCUGGAUCGGUGGCUUGUGAAAUCUGGUAGAUUGGACUCUAAAAAAAAAUUAUAUAAAAAUGCUAUAAUUUGUCGAACCAGGUGUAUACCAUGUUCUCGGGAUCGGUGGUAUGUUCCUUUGGGGAGAUAACAAAAAAAUAUACUAAUAAUUUGGUCGAGCCAGGUGUAUACCAUGUUCUCGGGAUCGGUGGUAUGUUCCUUUGGUGAGACUGAUAUAAUAUCAUCACUUGUGCUUUAAAUUCAAUAAGUAACUUGUUUUUCUAAUUGAUUUUGGGGUCCCAGCUUAUCUCAGGGCUGAAGACAGAGCCAGCUCUUGAUUAUUAGUAUUCACUUUGACUCAAGGCCAUUGACUUGGAACAUUUACAGUGUGUUAUAAAAUAUUUCUUAUCACAAUUUAGCUUCAGUAGAGUACAUUUGCUUAGUUCCAGUAUUGUCGGAAUUACUAUCUAUCGGAAAGUGCAUAUUUACUAGGCAGUGUGAGUUGUGUCACCAUCAAAUUUUUUUUCCUUUGCUCGAGGACAAGCAAAGAUUUAAGUGUGGGGGAACUUGAUAAGCACAUUUCUUAUAUACUAUUUGGGCACACAAAUUCACCUUUUAUUGAGAUAUAUCCAUCCAUUCUUGCUAUGACUUGUUGAAUAUUUGAAUGAUAACCAUAAAAGAGAAUGUUGACUAGUGAAUUGUUUAUUUUGCAGAAAAGUGCGCAAAUGCACUAUAAUCGUCAAGACUUCUACUAUGUGGCUAACGAGAAGAGAGAAGGGCAUGAAAGAAAUACGUCAAGGCUUGAGCGUGAAGGAAAGAAGUAAUGUAGGGGAGCAAACUAAAAGAAGAGGAGGAUCUUCUUGGGAAGAAAGAAGAAAGGAGGAGGGCCAAAGUAAAAAAAGACAAAACAGAGGAGGGGAUCAAAAAUCCCUAGCGCAGCCGAUCCCCAUCAGGCCUCGCAUCUCACCUCUCUCCCUCACCCCUCCUUCUCCACCACCGGCCGUCGCCGCGGCCAGGCCGGCGUGGCGGUGCGCCUGCUGCUCCUCCACUCAGCCACGAGCACCAUCCGCCGCACCAUCCAUCCAUCCCAGCCGCGCCGCGCCAUCCAUCCACCACUCCACCAGCGUCACCAGCUCCACUUCACCACCGCGCCUCCACCAGCGCCCACCUCGCGCGCCCCUCCUGCCGCUUCCUCUCUGAACCUGCUAUUGCUGCUGCAUCUUCCUUCUUCCUCUUGACCUCCUGUUGCUCUUCUCCAAGCACCGCUGCUGCUCCUUCCUUGCAACCCCCCUGUUGUUGUUCAUCCUCUCCACCUCCUUGCGCCUCCCUGCCGGUACCCUUCUCUGCUGAAAACUGCUGCUGCUUGUGCGCUCCAGCUGCUCCUUCUUCUCCUGCCUACUGCUAGUUCUUCUUCCCCACAUCACUUUUGCUGCUCCUCUUCUCUGCCUCGCUACUGUUCUUCUUACCUGAACCUCAAAAUUGUUGCUGUUCUCUUCUAAACAACAAAACUGCUGCUACUACUACCUCAACCUCCUGUUGCUUUCUUUCUUUCUCACUCUCUUUGAAAUUUCUGUAAGAUUGAGACGCAUAUGAUUUGUAUUAUUCAGAUUUGAUAAGUGUUAGUAAUCUACUGUUGUUCAGUUCAGACUUCCUGUGUGUGUUAAUUAGUUAAAAUUGUCACUUCUGUACUGCUUGUUGCAGAUUCUUGAUCAUUUUUGUUAUCUAUGUGUUAGCUCAUGCAUCUGAGAAUUAUAAAGACUGUGUGGUUGAUGUGAAACAAUUAUAUAUAUGUCUCCUGUUUGUUAGUUAGUGGUUUGUAUAAAUUCGGAUUACUACUUGUGAUUUAAUUUUGUAUUGAAAUUGUUCUCUGUGGUAGUCAGUUGUGUGAUCAUUCAAUUUUCAGUCUAUGUAUUAGCUCUGUACCUGUAAUAUAUGUUGUGACAUGAAGCAUUUUCAUCCUUGUCCAUUAUCUUGUUUCUUCACUCUGUCAUACGCUUGUUAGAUAAAUAUAUGUGUUCAUGUCCUGUUGUUCCCUUUUGUGUUAGCAUUUUAGUUUCUCAAGUAAUAGGAAAACACCAAAAAAGACAAUACAGACAAUCUGAACUUCCCCUUUGCUUAUUUUACAUUUUCUUUGGCGACGAUCUUCGGGAACUACCUUGUUUAGUUUAGGUUUAUUUUCUUGCAUUUAUAAUCUGAGUUCUGUCACCUAGCUUUAGCCGAGCAUUGUUGCUGUCGCCUAGUCCCUG